This 603-nucleotide long non-coding RNA is filed under the name Prunus persica (peach). Its description in RNAcentral is "long non-coding RNA (PPER_LNC004765)". The record is from RNAcentral. Lineage: Eukaryota; Viridiplantae; Streptophyta; Magnoliopsida; Rosales; Rosaceae.
CCCCAUUCCCUCCUUCACAUUCCCUCCAGCGAAAUAACUCCAAACACUCUUUUGGCGUGCUUUGGAUGAUUUAUAUAAACUUGGGGCCAAUGGUGGUGUUGGUUGUGAUUCCCUAACACUUGCUCCCCGUCUCAUCUGUGCACCACCACUUGUCCCGGAACCUUGUGCUCUAUUAGGAAGUUUAUGGAGGUGUUCUCUUUCCCAUGCUGACUGUUUGGAGGCACGUAAUGCUUGUUUAAAAUUGCGUCGCUCUUCAGGUCCCAUGUCAUCAUCACAUUCAUCCUCAUCGUCAUCAUCAUCACUGUCAACCGCUUGGCCAAUGACUUCUCCUCGUAGUCCAGCUCGAAUAUUUUCCAUUCCAUGUGUUUUCUUUUCCUUCUGGUGUUGUUUAUUUUUUAACAAUGUGGUGAUGAAUGCCUUCACUUCUGGGGGAACACUAUCGCAUCGUUGGACAUUAUUUCCUGGAUCUAAUCCACUAAGAUGAUACUUAAGUCGUGUCACUCCACCACUCUUUAUUACCCGACCACAAUAUUUGCAAAUUGAGCCAUUUUUGUUUCCGUCUAUUGGGUCUCCAUGUUCCCAAGCUGGAUCACGUUUAACAAC